Molecule: ribosomal RNA, 1410 nt
Filed under: Nusuttodinium desymbiontum
Lineage: Eukaryota; Dinophyceae; Gymnodiniales; Gymnodiniaceae
Description: eukaryotic LSU rRNA
Rfam family: Eukaryotic large subunit ribosomal RNA
Source: RNAcentral
UAGGAUUCCCUCAGUAAUGGCGAAUGAACAGGGAACAGCUCACCAUGGAAAUUGUGGCCUUCUGGCCAUGAAUUGUAAUUUCAAGAUGUAUCGCUAACGAGGGCGUAGGUGUAAGCCUCUUGGAAAAGAGCAUCAGCGAGGGUGAGAAUCCCGUUUGUCACAUACAGCCCCUCGUGUUCGGCAUACGAUCUUUGAGUCACGUUCCUCGGGAUUGGAGCGCAAAGUGGGUGGUAAAUUUCAUCUCAAGCUAAAUAUGGGUUCGAAACCGAUAGCAAACAAGUACCCUGAGGGAAAGAUGAAAAGGACUUUGAAAAGAGAGUUAAAAGUGCCUGAACUUGCUGAAAGGAAAGCGGAUGGAACCACCCACCCUUGGCUAGAUUGUUGCGUGCUUCAGUGACUGUUUUCUGGGUGAGCGCAAGCUGCCCAGUGAAUCUCGAUCUGGCUGUGCGUGAUGCUUCUAGCCUUGUGCGUCACUAGCUGUGUGAAGGCGGGGAUACCUCUGGGGACAUGGUAGCGCAACUUCGGGGGCGUGAAUGUGCCUAGUAGUGCUCGCUUGCGCACAGUGCAUUUGCUUCAGGUCGCGCUGCCUUCGCGUGAGCUCUCCGCAUAUUCGUGCGGCGUCCUCGCUGUGGGGCGUACCUUCCUGUUGCUUUCUUUAGUGGCGAAAUGGUUCCAUUCGACCCGUCUUGAAACACGGACCAAGGAGUCUAACAUAUGUGCGAGUUCUUGGGUGUCAAACCUACGUGCGCAAUGAAAGUGAGUACUGAGAUAUUAGCAUCAGCAGCCGACCGAUCGAUUGGGAGAGGUUUGAGCAUGAGCAUAUCUGUUAGGACCCGAAAGAUGGUGAACUAUGCCUGAGAAGGGCAAAGUCUGGGGAAACUCAGAUGGAGGCUCGUAGCGGUACUGACGUGCAAAUCGUUCGUCAUACUUGGGUAUAGGGGCGAAAGACUAAUCGAACCAUCUAGUAGCUGGUUCCCUCCGAAGUUUCCCUCAGGAUAGCUGGAGUUGAAUAGUUUUAUCAGGUAAAGCGAAUGAUUAGAGGAAUCGGGGGCGCGUUGCCCUCGACCUAUUCUCAAACUUUAAAUGGGUAAGCUCCAGUUGUUACUUUGUUGAACAUCUGGGAUAAAUUACGAUUCUAAGUGGGCCAUUUUUGGUAAGCAGAACUGGCGAUGAGGGAUGAACCUAACGUUGGGAUAAGGUGCUUAACUGCUCGCUCAUCAGAUACCAUAAAGGGUGUUGGUUCAUUUUAACAGCAGGACGGUGGUCAUGGAAGUCGAAACCCGCUAAGGAGUGUGUAACAACUCACCUGCCGAAUGGACUAGCCCCGAAAAUGGAUGGCGCUUAAGCGGGUGGCCGAUACCCAACCAUUGCUGCAAUUGUGCCGCGGCAAUGAGUAGGAGGGCGUGGGGG